CAUCAUAGGUCAUCACAGAGUGGGCAUAACAUCAUAGGUCUUUAUUUGGGCUCUUUAGUGGUCAUCACAGAGUGGGCAUAACAUCAUAGGUCUUUAGCGGUCA
Long non-coding RNA from Alosa alosa (allis shad), 103 nucleotides. RefSeq lists it as uncharacterized. The record is from RefSeq and is a predicted model, not a curated record. NCBI's taxonomy places the organism in Eukaryota, Metazoa, Chordata, Actinopteri, Clupeiformes, Clupeidae. The transcript has 3 exons.